GUGCCAGCCGCCGCGGUAAUACGGAGGGGGUUAGCGUUGUUCGGAAUUACUGGGCGUAAAGCGCGCGUAGGCGGAUUGGAAAGUUGGGGGUGAAAUCCCGGGGCUCAACCCCGGAACUGCCUCCAAAACUUCCAGUCUGGAGUUCGAGAGAGGUGAGUGGAAUUCCGAGUGUAGAGGUGAAAUUCGUAGAUAUUCGGAGGAACACCAGUGGCGAAGGCGGCUCACUGGCUCGAUACUGACGCUGAGGUGCGAGAGUGUGGGGAGCAAACAGGAUUAGAUACCCUGGUAGUCCACACCGUAAACGAUGAAUGCCAGUCGUCGGCAAGCAUGCUUGUCGGUGACACACCUAACGGAUUAAGCAUUCCGCCUGGGGAGUACGGUCGCAAGAUUAAAACUCAAAUGAAUUGACGGGG
RNAcentral lists this ribosomal RNA (413 nucleotides) under uncultured prokaryote. RNAcentral's name for it is "bacterial SSU rRNA". It matches the Rfam family "Bacterial small subunit ribosomal RNA", at positions 505 to 918 of the family's 1533-position model. The record is from RNAcentral.